Small nuclear RNA from Saimiri boliviensis boliviensis (Bolivian squirrel monkey), 103 nucleotides. The record is from Ensembl. Lineage: Eukaryota; Metazoa; Chordata; Mammalia; Primates; Cebidae.
GUGCUUACUUUGGCAUCACAUAGUACUAAAAAUGAUAAAGAGAAGAGAAGCAUGGCCCUUGCACAAGAAUGUCAUGCAAAUUUCUGAAGUAUUUUAUGUUUUA